Molecule: non-coding RNA, 148 nt
Filed under: Homo sapiens (human)
Lineage: Eukaryota; Metazoa; Chordata; Mammalia; Primates; Hominidae
Source: Rfam by way of RNAcentral
GCCGGGCAUGGUGGCGCAUGCCUGUAGUCCCAGCUACUCAGGAGGCUGAGGUGGGAGGAUCAUUUGAGCCCAGGAGGCGGAAGUUGCAGUGAGCCAAGAUUGCACCACCGUAACUCCAGCCUGGGCAACAAGUGAGAUCCUGUCUCAA